CUGCCCAUCUGGGGCGGGGCCUGACAGGAGUGCCUUGCCAGGAAGGGAGGGCAAAGGGCCAUGUCCCGUACCUGCCCCACCCGGCUGACAAGAGUCCUGGUCACCAGGCCACCCUCUCCGUCUAGGGCCCUCGAGGGAAGUCCAUGAAACUGGGGCACUGGGUGGCAGAUCUGGAACAUCUCGGACCCUUCUCCUUCUGACAUCAGCAUCAGGGAUAAGACCAGAGCGGAAGGACCUCAUCCAGGCGAGCCACAGAUCACUGUUCCCGCCUGUCACCCUACAACAGAGCCCAGUGACUGGAGCACUGGGGGACACCCAAGCAGAGCCCUCGCUGGAUCAAGUACUCCAGGAGAGGGAUGAAGCCAUUGCUAAGAAGCAGGCAGUGGAGGCUGAGCUGGACACAUGCAAAGCCAAGUUACGAGCUGUGGAGGCCCAGCUGCUGGAGGUCCUGGAGGAGAAACUGAGACUGAGGCAGGAGGUGGAGGCCUGGGAGGAGGACAUGCAACAGCUGGUGAGGCAGCGGGUCGAGAGUCAGCUGCACAGAGAGUCCAGAAGCACUUUGAGAGCCCCCAUGGAACCUGGAGCUGCCAGGGCCCCCUCGUUCCGAUUCCCCCUGGUUCGAUGGCGGCGUUGGCGGUGAGAGAGCUCAACCCAGGACCUUGAGAGCUGUGUCUUUAUUCAUUAAACUUAAGGUCUGACUACCUUUA
RNA transcript from Rhinolophus ferrumequinum (greater horseshoe bat), 707 nucleotides. It is a transcript of the gene named bicaudal D-related protein homolog, with no coding region annotated. Lineage: Eukaryota; Metazoa; Chordata; Mammalia; Chiroptera; Rhinolophidae. The transcript has 4 exons. The record is from RefSeq and is a predicted model, not a curated record.